CACGCCGAGCACGCCGAGCACGCUUGCAGCGGCGUCAGCUUGGGGCGGCCCCCGACCUCUCCAGCCAGAACUGCGUGAGAGGGAGGCACGCCAAGGAAAUGGAGACCCCCAGGGUGGCCUGGUAACCACAGCUGUAAGCGAAGGCCCAGAAAUUCCUGAACUACCCUGGAAGCUGAGGGUCGUCCCUUCGAAAGGAGGUCAGGUUCAAAACAACAGCUUCCAGCAGGUUCCUGGUGGAGGUGGGGAAGGGCUCACCCAGCAACUCGAGCCAACUGCAGUCGGCCAAUCUCCUGCUAGAUUUCAGUGGCAAGAGGCAGUGGCAGCCAAUGAAGAGGCCUAGAGCUUGUGUCAUAGACCUCAAGGCAAGCUGGAAUAACCAGAAGGCAGGCACACGUGACUGUUUCCAUGGUGACCUCCCUUAGCUACUCAGACUGGUCCUAUUUAUGAGUACUGGAAAAUUCCACCCAGCCUUCAGCCUGAUUUUGUUAGCUUCUCUGCCUGCUUCCUGCUUCCAGCGGGAGGGGCUGGGGAUGAAGUCACUGCCAGUGUUUAACCCCCUCACCCGGAGGGGGUCUGGGGUUCAGGGAGAGGGAAGAGAGCCCAAGUCUGAGCUGGGAGCCACCGCUUGUAGCAUACAUCAUGUGCUGGGACUGUACCAGGCUCCUGAUGACCUCACAGCCCCGAGCAGAGGGCACACCACUGAUCGCCCCUAUUUCACUGAGGAGUGAACUUGAAUCAGAGAGGUUAGGUAACUUGCAAUGUCACAGGCUCAGGCUUGGAGUUCUUUUGGGGCCUUUCUCUCCAAGACAGCUCCCUAAGGCUUGAAGUCUUAUAGGACCAGAUGAGGCGGGGAUGGGGUGCAGAGGAGGGUCAGAGCCAUGGUUUUCGUGGGAGCUGAAGGAAGGCCUCACCAGCCAGGAGGGCGACUUUGACUUUUAGGCUGAGGGGAAGAAUAAGGAGGA
Artibeus jamaicensis (Jamaican fruit-eating bat) is the source of this 962-nucleotide long non-coding RNA. RefSeq lists it as uncharacterized. The transcript is spliced from 3 exons. The record is from RefSeq and is a predicted model, not a curated record. NCBI's taxonomy places the organism in Eukaryota, Metazoa, Chordata, Mammalia, Chiroptera, Phyllostomidae.